Molecule: ribosomal RNA, 429 nt
Filed under: Bacillota bacterium
Lineage: Bacteria; Bacillati; Bacillota
Description: Firmicutes bacterium partial 16S ribosomal RNA
Rfam family: Bacterial small subunit ribosomal RNA
Source: RNAcentral
UAGGGAAUCUUCGGCAAUGGCCGGAAGUCUGACCGAGCAACGCCGCGUGAGUGAAGAAGGUUUUCGGAUCGUAAAGCUCUGUUGUUAGAGAAGAACGUUGGUAGGAGUGGAAAAUCUACCAAGUGACGGUAACUAACCAGAAAGGGACGGCUAACUACGUGCCAGCAGCCGCGGUAAUACGUAGGUCCCGAGCGUUGUCCGGAGUUAUUGGGCGUAAAGCGAGCGCAGGCGGUUCUUUAAGUCUGAAGUGAAAGGCAGUGGCUUAACCAUUGGACGGUUUGGAAACGGGAGGACUUGAGUGCAGAAGGGGAGAGUGGAAGUCCAGGUGUAGCGGUGAAGUGCGUAGAUAUAUUGGGGAACACCGGUGGCGAAAGCGGCUAUCUGGUCAGUAACUGACGCUGAGGCUCGAAAGCGUGGGGAGCAAACAGG